ACUCAUUGGACCCGGGGGCGGUACCCGGCGCCUCCACCAAAAUAUAAAAAAUUAUAUUUUGGUGGGGGCGAAAUAGGAUCGACAAGAGCGUAAAGAUUGCUCUUUUACUCGGCAUAGUACCACCGUUAUCGGACUAAAUGAGUAGUUGCAAAUGACAACUAUGCGGAAGCACGUCUCGCCGCUUAAGGUGGUGUGAAUGUUUCAAAUUAAGUCUUAAACCGUCGCAGGUUUAAGCGGGGUUCGAAGG
Molecule: transfer-messenger RNA, 247 nt
Filed under: Bartonella sp. B4
Lineage: Bacteria; Pseudomonadati; Pseudomonadota; Alphaproteobacteria; Hyphomicrobiales; Bartonellaceae
Description: partial ssrA
Rfam family: Alphaproteobacteria transfer-messenger RNA
About the family: Bacterial tmRNA, also known as 10Sa RNA or SsrA, is named for its dual tRNA and mRNA-like properties. Its role is to liberate the mRNA from a stalled ribosome.
Source: RNAcentral